This 497-nucleotide ribosomal RNA is filed under the name uncultured bacterium. Its description in RNAcentral is "partial 16S ribosomal RNA". It matches the Rfam family "Bacterial small subunit ribosomal RNA", at positions 28 to 507 of the family's 1533-position model. The record is from RNAcentral.
GAUGAACGCUGGCGGCGUGCCUAAUACAUGCAAGUCGAGCGAACAGAUGAGGAGCUUGCUCCUCUGACGUUAGCGGCGGACGGGUGAGUAACACGUGGAUAACCUACCUAUAAGACUGGGAUAACUUCGGGAAACCGGAGCUAAUACCGGAUAAUAUAUUGAACCGCAUGGUUCAAUAGUGAAAGACGGUUUUGCUGUCACUUAUAGAUGGAUCCGCGCCGCAUUAGCUAGUUGGUAAGGUAACGGCUUACCAAGGCAACGAUGCGUAGCCGACCUGAGAGGGUGAUCGGCCACACUGGAAGUGAGACACGGUCCAGACUCCUACGGGGGGCAGCAGUAGGGAAUCUUCCGCAAUGGGCGAAAGCCUGACGGAGCAACGCCGCGUGAGUGAUGAAGGUCUUCGGAUCGUAAAGCUCUGUUAUUGGGGAAGAACAAAUGUGUAAGUAACUAUGCACGUCUUGACGGUACCUAAUCAGAAAGCCACGGCUAACUACGUG